CUACGGGUUGCUGCAGUGGGGAAUAUUGGACAAUGGGGGAAACCCUGAUCCAGCAAUGCCGUGUGUGUGAAGAAGGCCUUAGGGUUGUAAAGCACUUUCACCCGUGAAGAUGAUGACGGUAGCGGGAGAAGAAGCCCCGGCUAACUCCGUGCCAGCAGCCGCGGUAAUACGGAGGGGGCUAGCGUUGUUCGGAAUUACUGGGCGUAAAGCGCGCGUAGGCGGCGCAUCGAGUUAGGCGUGAAAGGCCUGGGCUUAACCUGGGAACUGCGCUUAAUACUGGUGUGCUUGAGUCCGGAAGGGGGUGGCGGAAUUCCCAGUGUAGAGGUGAAAUUCGUAGAUAUUGGGAAGAACACCGGUGGCGAAGGCGGCCACCUGGUCCGGAACUGACGCUGAGGUGCGAAAGCGUGGGGAGCAAACAGGAUUAGAUACCCUCUGUAGUC
Molecule: ribosomal RNA, 440 nt
Filed under: uncultured bacterium
Lineage: Bacteria
Description: partial 16S ribosomal RNA
Rfam family: Bacterial small subunit ribosomal RNA
Source: RNAcentral